Molecule: ribosomal RNA, 497 nt
Filed under: uncultured bacterium
Lineage: Bacteria
Description: partial 16S ribosomal RNA
Rfam family: Bacterial small subunit ribosomal RNA
Source: RNAcentral
GAUGAACGCUGGCGGCGUGCCUAAUACAUGCAAGUCGAGCGAACAGAUGAGGAGUUUGCUCCUCUGACGUUAGCGGCGGACGGGUGAGUAACACGUGGAUAACCUACCUAUAAGACUGGGAUAACUUCGGGAAACCGGAGCUAAUACCGGAUAAUAUAUUGAACCGCAUGGUUCAAUAGUGAAAGACGGUUUUGCUGUCACUUAUAGAUGGAUCCGCGCCGCAUUAGCUAGUUGGUAAGGUAACGGCUUACCAAGGCAACGAUGCGUAGCCGACCUGAGAGGGGGAUCGGCCACACUGGAACUGAGACACGGUCCAGACUCCUACGGGAGGCAGCAGUAGGGAAUCUUCCGCAAUGGGCGAAAGCCUGACGGAGCAACGCCGCGUGAGUGAUGAAGGUCUUCGGAUCGUAAAACUCUGUUAUUAGGGAAGAACAAAUGUGUAAGUAACUAUGCACGUCUUGACGGUACCUAAUCAGAAAGCCACGGCUAACUACGUG